Molecule: ribosomal RNA, 618 nt
Filed under: Fusarium proliferatum
Lineage: Eukaryota; Fungi; Ascomycota; Sordariomycetes; Hypocreales; Nectriaceae
Description: eukaryotic LSU rRNA
Rfam family: Eukaryotic large subunit ribosomal RNA
Source: RNAcentral
UUGACCUCGGAUCAGGUAGGAAUACCCGCUGAACUUAAGCAUAUCAAUAAGCGGAGGAAAAGAAACCAACAGGGAUUGCCCUAGUAACGGCGAGUGAAGCGGCAACAGCUCAAAUUUGAAAUCUGGCUCUCGGGCCCGAGUUGUAAUUUGUAGAGGAUACUUUUGAUGCGGUGCCUUCCGAGUUCCCUGGAACGGGACGCCAUAGAGGGUGAGAGCCCCGUCUGGUUGGAUGCCAAAUCUCUGUAAAGUUCCUUCGACGAGUCGAGUAGUUUGGGAAUGCUGCUCUAAAUGGGAGGUAUAUGUCUUCUAAAGCUAAAUACCGGCCAGAGACCGAUAGCGCACAAGUAGAGUGAUCGAAAGAUGAAAAGCACUUUGAAAAGAGAGUUAAAAAGUACGUGAAAUUGUUGAAAGGGAAGCGUUUAUGACCAGACUUGGGCUUGGUUAAUCAUCUGGGGUUCUCCCCAGUGCACUUUUCCAGUCCAGGCCAGCAUCAGUUUUCCCCGGGGGAUAAAGACUUCGGGAAUGUGGCUCUCUUCGGGGAGUGUUAUAGCCCGUUGUGUAAUACCCUGGGGGGGACUGAGGUUCGCGCAUCUGCAAGGAUGCUGGCGUAAGGUCACA